GGGGCUGAUUAAUGGAUUCGACAAAAUUAUAAAGCUUGUAGAGCAUGUCAAGGGAUACAGUAGGCCUUGUAAAAAAACUGUAUAAUUAUAAAUGCAAAAAAUAAUAACUACGCUUUAGCAGCUUAAAAACUGUAAAAGUCCUAUAAUUUAUUACUGGCUCUUCGGAAUAAAUAUAUGGGUCAUAUCAUCAAAGAGAUCGUAUAUAGUAUGUCUAGAAUUAUAUAUUAAAAAUAUAGACUAAGAUAUUAUAUAACUUUGUUCAUCAGUGUAUAAUAUUGAAUAUAAUGAUGAAACUAAACAUGUAGUUUCGAAAAGUGUAAUAUUUUUGGACGGGGGUUCGAAUCCCCCCAGCUCCAUAA
Molecule: transfer-messenger RNA, 359 nt
Filed under: Enterobacteriaceae (enterobacteria)
Lineage: Bacteria; Pseudomonadati; Pseudomonadota; Gammaproteobacteria; Enterobacterales
Also listed under: 1 other name
Description: GCA-012562765 sp012571605 Standard tmRNA
Rfam family: transfer-messenger RNA
About the family: Bacterial tmRNA, also known as 10Sa RNA or SsrA, is named for its dual tRNA and mRNA-like properties. Its role is to liberate the mRNA from a stalled ribosome. To accomplish this part of the tmRNA is used as a reading frame that ends in a translation stop signal.
Source: RNAcentral